AGUAGUUUGAUCAUGGCUCAGGAUGAACGCUGGCGGCGUGCCUAACACAUGCAAGUCGAACGGAGCUUAUUUUUUAAUACUUCGGUAAGCGAGAAGUAAGCUUAGUGGCGGACGGGUGAGUAACGCGUGGAGAACCUGCCCUGUACUGGGGGAUAACAGUGAGAAAUCACUGCUAAUACCGCAUAAGCGCACGGAGCCGCAUGGCCCAGUGUGAAAAACUCCGGUGGUACAGGAUGGCUCCGCGUUGGAUUAGCCAGUUGGCGGGGUAACGGCCCACCAAAGCGACGAUCCAUAGCCGGCCUGAGAGGGUGAACGGCCACAUUGGGACUGAGACACGGCCCAGACUCC
This 348-nucleotide ribosomal RNA is filed under the name uncultured Coprococcus sp. RNAcentral describes it as "bacterial SSU rRNA". It matches the Rfam family "Bacterial small subunit ribosomal RNA", at positions 1 to 339 of the family's 1533-position model. The record is from RNAcentral. Lineage: Bacteria; Bacillati; Bacillota; Clostridia; Lachnospirales; Lachnospiraceae.